Molecule: ribosomal RNA, 493 nt
Filed under: uncultured bacterium
Lineage: Bacteria
Description: bacterial SSU rRNA
Rfam family: Bacterial small subunit ribosomal RNA
Source: RNAcentral
AAAGGAAUUGACGGGGGCCCGCACAAGCAGUGGAGUAUGUGGUUUAAUUCGAAGCAACGCGAAGAACCUUACCAGGGCUUGACAUCCCUAGAAGGCCUGUGAGAGCAGGCUGUGCCUUCGGGAACUAGGUGACAGGUGGUGCAUGGUUGUCGUCAGCUCGUGUCGUGAGAUGUUGGGUUAAGUCCCGCAACGAGCGCAACCCUUGUUGCUAGUUGCUACCAUUAAGUUGAGCACUCUAGCGAGACUGCCGUUGACAAAACGGAGGAAGGUGGGGACGAUGUCAAAUCAUCAUGCCCCUUAUGUCCUGGGCUACACACGUACUACAAUGGCGAUUAACAACGGGAAGCCAAGCCGCGAGGCGGAGCAAAUCCCCAAAAAUCGUCCCAGUUCGGAUUGUAGGCUGAAACUCGCCUGCAUGAAGUUGGAAUUGCUAGUAAUCGCGGAUCAGCAUGCCGCGGUGAAUACGUUCCCGGGCCUUGUACACACCGCCCGU